This 25-nucleotide non-coding RNA is filed under the name Cricetulus griseus (Chinese hamster). Lineage: Eukaryota; Metazoa; Chordata; Mammalia; Rodentia; Cricetidae. The record is from RNAcentral.
GAGCUGCAGACAUUGGACAUCAAAG